AUUGAACGCUAGCGGUAUGCCUUACACAUGCAAGUCGAACGAGUGGCGAACGGGUGUGUAAUGUAUCGGAACGUGCCCCGUCGCGGGGGAUAACUACGCGAAACGUAGCUCAUACCGCAUACUAUUGGAGCGGCCGAUAUCGGAUUAGCUAGUGGGUGGGGUAACGGCUCACCAAGGCGACGAUCCGUAGCUGGUUUGAGAGGACGACCAGACGCACUGGGACUGAGAAACGGCCCAGACUCCUACGGGAGGCAGCAGGGGGGAAUAUUGGACCAUGGGGGAAAGCCUGAGACAGCCAUCCCGCGUGUGCGAGGAAGGCCUUCGGGGUGUAAAGCACUUUUGGCAGGGAAGCGGUACCUGAAGAAUAAGCACCGGCUAACUACGUGCCAGCAGCCGCGGUAAUUC
RNAcentral lists this ribosomal RNA (405 nucleotides) under uncultured bacterium. RNAcentral's name for it is "partial 16S ribosomal RNA". It matches the Rfam family "Bacterial small subunit ribosomal RNA", at positions 30 to 526 of the family's 1533-position model. The record is from RNAcentral.